UCUCGGCCAGGGUGUUGCCAAGCUGGAAAAGAGAAGAGUCGGUGGAAGCUGGCUUUGGAUUUUCAUAUCUUAUUUUAAAGGGGAGAAUAAUGCUUUCUUAUCCAAACUGGGACCUUCAGAUCAAGGACAAUGUGCCCUGUGGAAUCUGUUCUUCAGCCUUCCUUCCCUUCCUAGGCUGCCUCUGACUGAGUCACAUGAAGGGCUCUACAAUUGAUUUUUCGACCAGUGGAGAAGAGAUGGGAAAGCUGAUGUCUCGGGGGAUUCCUGAUUCCUCAUUCCAGGAGACCCUUUGGAGAAGUGACCGUCUGCCCUGGAGAAGAUGGUCGGCCCCUUCUCCACAUCGCUCAGCUAUCUGGAGCCCUAAGGUGAAAUGACUUGCCCAGAGUCAGAGAAGGCAUCAAGAGAAAAUACAUACACAGCAAACACAGCUUCUGAUGCCUAGCAUCUGCCUGGCCCUUGUCUAUUCCCUUAGAAAUGUCACAGACUUCACAGAAAUCUCUUUGUUUUGUGGAUUUGCGGUCUCCACUUUAGAUCCAAGGAUUGUGACCUCCCUCCGUCCCUCUUGUCUGCCUGGUGGCCUUUUGUGGUGCUGAGGAAUUCAGUUCCUCGGUGACCCUGACAUCAUGGAGCCUUCCCCUUAUGUUGUGUACGUGUAGGUCUCUCAAGCUGCUUCCGUACUGCAUGGCCUCAUUUCUGUCUCACAAGGGUUCCAGAAGACCAUCCCACACUUAAAGGGUCCCAGAAUGGGGCUGGAGAUAGAGUAUGUUGGGGAUGAUGAAAGACCAUCGGAUAGCUACGUCUGGAGACUCUUAUCACCAAAAAGAUAGAGGGGAAUGAUGUUUUUGUCUAUGGCAACUCAGGAGUGUGAUAGGUUAUUACCUGUAUCAAUGAAAGUUGUGCUGUUACCAAUGAGAUCACAGAUACACUGGAAGAUGGGUGAGAAAACUGAGGUUAAAAGAGCAGUCCAAGGCCACAUAGCCAGUGUAUGGAGCAGAGACUUGAAUCCAGGUCUCCCAUUUCUUAGCAUCCUUAGAGUCCUUCAAGACUUAGCUCAACACUUUCUACAUGAUCCUUUUCCUGAUCAGCCCAGCUGCUAGGGCCCCAAAAUGCUUUUAAUUUAUUUUGAGGAUCUUUUGUAUAUUUUUAUAUCUGUACAUAUUGGCUACAUCUAUGGAAAGGAAGCUCUUUGGGGGCAGAGACCAUUUUACUUUCCUCUUUGUAUCCCUGGUGCCUAGCAUGGUGCUUGGUCCAUAGGAGGUACAUGAUAAAUUGAUUCUGGUCUAUGUGGCAGACAUUACAGAGAGUCUCAGACUUGAAGACAAUACUCAGUGACGACUCUUUGGCCAGAACUGGAAACAACAAGUACACAGCUGGUCGAGGACCAGAGGAAAUGGCCUCUCAAGACUCGAGGCAGAUCCGUUCCUGGAAAACCUUUAGCCCACUUCCAGCCUGUUUCAUGGGCACGUGCUGGGAUGAGCACCACUUGUGUCUGUUCAGUAAGAGGCAUGUCACCUCCACCUUUGGGUGACCGUGGACAAGCUGCCUCAACUCUCUGAGCUUCAGUCUGCUAAGAUGUAAAGUGGGAAUCAGAGCUGUGGGGCUGGUCGAGGUCUUAGAAGUCGCCUGGUCAACCUUCUCACUCACCCAUGCUCACACAGGGAGGAAGCUUCCAUCACAAGUGGGAUUUUCUGAGCCUCAGUUUCUCCAUCUCUUCAAGGAUGGUUUGGAUUAGAUGACCUCUGAGGUCCCUUCCGGCUCUGGAACCGUGAUGACCCUGUGAUCCAAGGGUAAAGGACUUUGAACAAAGCAAUAUAAGUGAUAAGUAACAGAGCCAGGAGAGAUGCUAUUUCCCUGGUGUGUCCCACUCACUCCAAUAAUGCCUAUAGGACUGACCUCACAGGGUUGUUGUCAAAAGCUUAACGAUACCUUCUCUCAAAAAGCUCAUAUUCUAAUGGGGAUAUGGCUUGAAUAUAACACAAUGAAAAGAAGUCAAAAGCACUGAUGAAUAGGAGAAUCAAUUAUGGAUUCACAGAUGUGGUGAUGCCCGAGCCGAGCCUAGAAGGCAGAUAAAAUAUUCUGAGAGCUGGGGAGGUGUGGAAGGACAUUCCAGGCAUGGACACAAAGGCUUGGAGAUAGAACUUGGGAUUGUGAGGACAAACUGUGGUUGGCAAACCUCAAAACGCUUUACAGAUAUUAGCUAUUAUUACCGUCAUUGUUACAGCCCAGAGUCCAAUCCUCAGCACUUAGCACUGUGCCUGGUACCCAGAGUAACUGCUAAUAAAUUCUUGUUGACUGAAUGACGUUGGGAAAAAGCACCAUCUGCUGAUGCAUGGGUAGGAGAGAGGGAUUUCAGGAGACUGGGUUGGAAACGGAAAGAGUUGAGGAAGUGAGAGAAGAGGAACUUGUAGCAGCCAGUGCAGACAGUUUUUUUCAAAGGGUUUGGCUGAGAAAGGGAGAUGAGAUACAGGACAUUAACUUGAAGCGAUGAUGGGAUCUAGUGAAGGGGAAGGCUUAAACAUAUUUUUUAAAUGAAAGUUCUCUUUUUAAAAAAUUUUUGAGUUCUAAAUUCUCUCUUUCCCUCCAG
Molecule: non-coding RNA, 2584 nt
Organism: Phascolarctos cinereus (koala)
Lineage: Eukaryota; Metazoa; Chordata; Mammalia; Diprotodontia; Phascolarctidae
Source: RefSeq, a predicted model, not a curated record